AUGGUCCGGCGACGCCGCACCUCGUCGGAGGUGCCUGCUUCCCAGCUGGAUAACGAAGAUAUACUCUGGGAGAUCCUCCUCCGUCUCCCGUCCCAGCCGUCCUCCCUGCUGCGCGCAUCCGCAGUCUGCAAGAGGUGGAGACGCCUCGUAACCGACCUUCAGUUCCUCGGCCACUUCCGCGCCCACCACCGGACGCCGCCCCUCCUCGGCGCCUUCGUGUGCCGCCGCCGCGGCAUGGCCACCGAGUUCGCCCCUAUUCUAGGUCCUCCUGACCGCAUCCCUCCUGAGCGCUUUGACCUCCGAAGCUGCAGCAAGUGGCCUGCUGAUCGCCAUGUGCUUGAUUGCCGCCACGGCCGUGUCCUCGUGAAAGACAACCUGAAGCAUGAGGUUGUUGUGUGUGACCCCGUCACAGGCGAGCAGUGCCGCGUGUCCAUUCCGCCGGAGUUCAAGAAUACUCGUGCCCACAUCCACGGGGCGGUGCUCUGUGCAGCUGCCGACCAUGACCACGUGCAUGGCAGCUGCCACUCUACCUCCUUCAAGGUGGCCUUGUUGUCCAUCUACAGGCUGGAUAGGCGGCCAGUCGCCUGUGUUUACUCCUCAGAGACCGACACGUGGGGAAAUCUCAUCACAGUAGUGGAACCAUGUGAGCCUCAUGGUUUUCUUAUUCCUGUGACUCUUAUUGGUAAUGUCCUUUACUGGAGCAUACUUGAGUUUGAUUUUGAUAGGCAGAGUCUAGCUAUGAUCAAGGGGCCUAGUGGUAUAAAUAAACUCCACAGAUCUCAUAUCAUCAUCAAGACAGAGGAUGGGGGUGUUGGUCUUGCCGUAUUAUCUGCACCGAGAGUUCACAUAUGGCAAAGGAAGGUCAAUUGUGAGGGUGUUAGCACAUGGUUGUUGCAGAAGACCAUUGAAAUGAAUAAAAUUCUUAGGAUCUCUCCUCGGAUUAAGAGAAGUAUGGGACGGCUGCUGGGGUAUGAUGAGGAUACUGACGAAAUAUGUUUGUAUAUAUAUGGCAGUGUCUAUAUGGUCCAACUUAAGUCAAUGCAAUACAGGAAACUGUAUAAAACCAAUUAUUAUACAAACUAUUAUCCUUUCAAGAGUUUCUAUGUGCCAGGUGAUCUUUCAUCCCUAGUCCUUAUUGUACAUAUAGGAGUAUAA
RNAcentral lists this ribosomal RNA (1155 nucleotides) under Triticum aestivum (bread wheat). RNAcentral's name for it is "partial small subunit ribosomal RNA". Lineage: Eukaryota; Viridiplantae; Streptophyta; Magnoliopsida; Poales; Poaceae. The record is from RNAcentral.